AUAUGUCCAUUUGUACAUAUGAACUGCAUUUGUACAGUAGUUAAUUCUCUUAAGAUAAGUUGUAAUGCAUGUUUGUCCUUGGGUGUAUCUGGCAUAUUCUGAAUAUUAAGUG
Molecule: long non-coding RNA, 112 nt
Organism: Triticum dicoccoides
Lineage: Eukaryota; Viridiplantae; Streptophyta; Magnoliopsida; Poales; Poaceae
Exons: 3
Source: RefSeq, a predicted model, not a curated record